AGCCAACAAGUUGUUGGUUAAACAAGAACGAGAAAUAAGUUUCACCCUUAUUAGAAUGCUAUCCUUCUGGAAGUCCACUAUUAAUUGACACUGAAAUGGAAGAUAGAACCAAGAAAUUUGGACCUAUACUUGAACUUCCUUUCUUCUAAAACACAGAACCCAAAAACCACUUCCAACCCAACACUCAAAACUUCCACUUCCAGUUAGUCCAAAACAAAAGUAAAUUAAAUCUAAUAAGAAACGAGAGUCUUUACUUACCUCUUAAAACAUGCUUCAAUGGAU
This 282-nucleotide unclassified non-coding RNA is filed under the name Hevea brasiliensis (rubber tree). Lineage: Eukaryota; Viridiplantae; Streptophyta; Magnoliopsida; Malpighiales; Euphorbiaceae. The record is from RNAcentral.